Hylaeus anthracinus is the source of this 484-nucleotide long non-coding RNA. RefSeq lists it as uncharacterized. NCBI's taxonomy places the organism in Eukaryota, Metazoa, Arthropoda, Insecta, Hymenoptera, Colletidae. The record is from RefSeq and is a predicted model, not a curated record. The transcript has 2 exons.
UCUCGGAAUUUUUACGGAAGCCCCCUUGCGAACGACGUAAUUCACUAUUAAAAUAUUCAAAGUACAUUGUACGAAGAGUUUUUCGGCCGACUGUAAUUCUGGGUUCACGUAAAACGGGGACAAGCCUUUAAGCAUUCCGAGUGGCCUUUGGGCGGCUUUAACCCGACGGAUACGCGCCUGAGAACUUUUAACGAGUUACCCUCGAAGGUACGGGUUUACUCUGCACAGAUUCCCUCUGAAAGGGAUUAAGACGACGGUUGACGUCUACGACAUUCGUCGAAUGAAAAUUUCCCCUGUUCGUCCGCGAGACGCAAUUAUACAAAUCGAGUUCAAGAGUUAAAGUGGAUCCGUGGAAUGGUGGACAGCACGAAAACCAAUCGGAGUGAUUGCCAUGCAACAGAAGUAAAAGAGCUAAUCGAAGCCAACGGAGAAGAAAAAGAAGAAGAAGAAGAAGAAGAAGAAGAAGAAGAAGGACAAGUAGAAG